RNAcentral lists this long non-coding RNA (347 nucleotides) under Ananas comosus (pineapple). Its description in RNAcentral is "long non-coding RNA (ACOM_LNC035632)". The record is from RNAcentral. Lineage: Eukaryota; Viridiplantae; Streptophyta; Magnoliopsida; Poales; Bromeliaceae.
UUAUCAAAAAAAUAAAUUUAGCAAUAAAUGUAAGGUUGUCGGAUCGUUGGUGCUAACUAUUAAUUCCGAAAAUUUGAGCUGUUAGAAAUACGCAACCAAUUCACUUAAAGCGUGCAAAUACAGCGCCCACGGAUCUCAAUUGUGACUCGGCCCAACCACCCUCACGUCAUUUCGAAUAUGAUUCGAUCCACCCAGCCUCACUCCAUUUCGAAUAUGAUUCGAUCCACCCAACCUCACUCCAUUUCGAACAUGAUUUGGCUCAAUAUGACUUUUCGCCACAGAAAAGCAUGCUGACCCAUUUAAACCAAAACAAAAAGAAGAAGAGAAAUGAAAGAACAAAAAAGAGA